AGCAGCCGCGGUAAUUCCAGCUCCAAUAGCGUAUAUUAAAGUUGUUGCAGUUAAAAAGCUCGUAGUUGAAUUUCGGGGUCAGUAGUCUGGUCGUGCCACCGGUACGUACUGGACUCACUGAUUCCUCCUUCCUGAUGAGCUGUAAUGCCAUUAAUUUGGUGUUGCAGGGAAUCUGGACUGUUACUUUGAAAAAAUUAGAGUGUUUAAAGCAGGCUAACGCUUGAAUACAUUAGCAUGGAAUAAUGAAAUAGGACGUUCGAUCCUAUUUUGUUGGUUUCUAGGAUUGACGUAAUGAUUAAUAGGGAUAGUUGGGGGCAUUAGUAUUCAAUUGUCAGAGGUGAAAUUCUUGGAUUUAUUGAAGACUAACUACUGCGAAAGCAUUUGCCAAGGAUGUUUUCAUUAAUCAAGAACGAAAGUUAGGGGAUCGAAGACGAUCAGAUACCGUCGUAGUCUUAACCAUAAACUAUGCCGACUAGGGAUCGGAUGA
This 487-nucleotide ribosomal RNA is filed under the name uncultured Glomus. Its description in RNAcentral is "SSU rRNA". It matches the Rfam family "Eukaryotic small subunit ribosomal RNA", at positions 569 to 1060 of the family's 1831-position model. Lineage: Eukaryota; Fungi; Glomeromycota; Glomeromycetes; Glomerales; Glomeraceae. The record is from RNAcentral.